GGGUUGUGAGGUUAAGCGACUAAGCGUACACGGUGGAUGCCCUGGCAGUCAGAGGCGAUGAAGGGCGUGCUAAUCUGCGAUAAGCGCCGGUAAGGUGAUAUGAACCGUUAUAACCGGCGAUACCCGAAUGGGGAAACCCAGUGUGACUUGUCACACUAUCAUUAACUGAAUCCAUAGGUUAAUGAGGCGAACCGGGGGAACUGAAACAUCUAAGUACCCCGAGGAAAAGAAAUCAACCGAGAUUCCCCCAGUAGCGGCGAGCGAACGGGGAGGAGCCCAGAGCCUGAAUCAGCAUGUGUGUUAGUGGAAGCGUCUGGAAAGGCGCGCGAUACAGGGUGACAGCCCCGUACACAAAAGCGCAUGUGCUGUGAGCUCGAUGAGUAGGGCGGGACACGUGGUAUCCUGUCUGAAUAUGGGGGGACCAUCCUCCAAGGCUAAAUACUCCUGACUGACCGAUAGUGAACCAGUACCGUGAGGGAAAGGCGAAAAGAACCCCGGCGAGGGGAGUGAAAAAGAACCUGAAACCGUGUACGUACAAGCAGUGGGAGC
Molecule: ribosomal RNA, 549 nt
Filed under: Salmonella enterica subsp. enterica serovar Kiambu
Lineage: Bacteria; Pseudomonadati; Pseudomonadota; Gammaproteobacteria; Enterobacterales; Enterobacteriaceae
Description: bacterial LSU rRNA
Rfam family: Bacterial large subunit ribosomal RNA
Source: RNAcentral